This 254-nucleotide ribosomal RNA is filed under the name uncultured bacterium. Its description in RNAcentral is "partial 16S ribosomal RNA". It matches the Rfam family "Bacterial small subunit ribosomal RNA", at positions 524 to 776 of the family's 1533-position model. The record is from RNAcentral.
UACGUAGGAUGCAAGCGUUGUUCGGAAUUACUGGGCGUAAAGAGUACGUAGGCGGUUUGGUAGGUCCGCUGUGAAAACUCGAGCUCAACCUCGAGACGCCGGUGGAAACCAUCAGACUAGAGUCCGGAAGAGGAGAGUGGAAUUCCGUGGUGUAGCGGUGAAAUGCGCAGACUAUCAGGAAGAACACCCGUGGCUAAGGCGGCUCUCUAGUACGGUACUGACGCUGAGACGCGAAAGCGUGGGGAGCGAACAGG